UACGGGGGGGGCAAGCGUUGUUCGGAAUUACUGGGCGUAAAGGGCGCGCAGGCGGCUGCUCAAGUCAGGCGUGAAAGGCCUGGGCUCAACCCGGGAAUUGCGCUUGAGACUGGGCUGGCUUGAGUGCGGGAGAGGAUGGUGGAAUUCCCAGUGUAGAGGUGAAAUUCGUAGAUAUUGGGAAGAACACCGGUGGCGAAGGCGGCAUUCUGGACCAACACUGACGCUGAGGAGCGAAAGCCAGGGGAGCAAACGGG
Molecule: ribosomal RNA, 254 nt
Filed under: uncultured bacterium
Lineage: Bacteria
Description: partial 16S ribosomal RNA
Rfam family: Bacterial small subunit ribosomal RNA
Source: RNAcentral